RNAcentral lists this ribosomal RNA (253 nucleotides) under uncultured bacterium. Its description in RNAcentral is "partial 16S ribosomal RNA". It matches the Rfam family "Bacterial small subunit ribosomal RNA", at positions 524 to 776 of the family's 1533-position model. The record is from RNAcentral.
UACGGGGGGGGCAAGCGUUGUUCGGAAUUACUGGGCGUAAAGGGCUCGUAGGUUGCCAACUAAGUCAGACGUGAAAUCCCUCGGCUUAACCGGGGAACUGCGUCUGAUACUGGAUGGCUUGAGUUCGGGAGAGGGAUGCGGAAUUCCAGGUGUAGCGGUGAAAUGCGUAGAUAUCUGGAGGAAUACCGGUGGCGAAGGCGGCAUCCUGGACCGACAUUGACGCUGAUGAGCGAAAGCUAGGGGAGCAAACGGG